CAGAAGCGGUGAUGAUGAAGACGCAACGUCACUGUCCUGAAAACCACUGAUGGCUUUAAGUCACUACCUCAUCUGAGCUUCCA
Molecule: small nucleolar RNA, 83 nt
Organism: Parambassis ranga (Indian glassy fish)
Lineage: Eukaryota; Metazoa; Chordata; Actinopteri; Ambassidae
Product: small nucleolar RNA SNORD11B
Source: Ensembl